Molecule: long non-coding RNA, 2287 nt
Filed under: Malus domestica (apple)
Lineage: Eukaryota; Viridiplantae; Streptophyta; Magnoliopsida; Rosales; Rosaceae
Description: long non-coding RNA (MDOM_LNC017629)
Source: RNAcentral
CCAUUCACUCAGGAAAACAAAGAUGAUUUGAAGUGCACUUUUUGUGGGUUCGGUAGCUAAUGGCAAGGCACUGUCGAGAAUGGAGACAGUGGCUCUCGGCAAGACACUGCCAAGAAUUAGAGUAUCAUGCAACCGUUGAGCACUGAACCAGCUGGGCCUUCUCAGCAACGGGCUGCCGAGUGUGAUGCAGAGUGUUGGCAGGGAGCUGCCGAACCAGUUAUGUGAAAUCCCGUUCUUGGAUUUCACUGUUAUAAUAUGUGUAUUUGUAUUAUUGAGAUUUUAUAUUAUUUCUCGAGAAUUUAUUUUAAUUUGUUUGAAUUUAGAUUUUAAUUAAACUAGUUACGAAGUUUGGAAAUUAAUUAUUUAAAAUCCGUAGACCUUUGGAUGUCACAUUUUAUAUUUUCGAAUAGAUCUCGAAACCAUGAACGCAUAGGCGAAAACUGUUUGCAAGUCCGGAUUAUAAUGGUAUAGUUACGGACGUUUGAAGUUGUGUUACUAAACUAUAGAUUUUAGAAAGAGUAAAUUGUAGCUAUAGUCCCUGAACUUUAAUUCAAUUGGAGCAAUGGUCCUUCAACUAAAAAUCCAUUACCAUUGGUCCCUCAACUCAUCAAAACGUGCAACUAUGGUCCCUCAACUAAAAAUCCAUUACCCUUGGUCCCUCAACUUUAAUUCAACUGGAGAAAUGGUCCCUUAACUUUAACCUAAUUGUAGCAAUGGUCCUUCCAACCAAGGUUUAAAAUAUCGAUGAUAUCGGAAAUAUCGGUAGUCCAAAAACAUGAAAAUUUCGAUGGAAAUAUCGGGAUAUUAUCGAUAUCGAUAAAAAUUGAAUAAAAACCACGGAAAUUGUAAGAAAAACUUGGAAAUUUUUAUUGAAACUUUGCAGGAUGUUUAUUUAGUCAAUUAUCUAUUAGUUUAUCACAAAAAAUUGAAAGGAAAUGCAUUGCAUGAUGAAUUUAAUUGAUUUAAGUUGAUUAUAUAGCGAGCUGGCAAACAUUGUGAGUGUAGAAAAUAUGUAGGAAUUAAUGAAAGAAGUUUAAACACACCAUAAUCAUUUAUAUAUAAUGAAUUAGUACAAUAUUUUGAACCUCAUAGGAACCUUGUACAUUGCAUAUAUAAUGAAUUGUAUUAAUUCAUUAUAUAUUUUACACUUUAUACAUUGCAUGGUAGAUUGUUACACCCACCCUCAAUUUAAAUUGUAUUUUCACUAAAUUUGAGUUUAUUUUACUUUUAAAAUUGUUUUUGAGUCUUAAAGGUGUGCCAUGGGGCCCACCUUUGUUUGUUUCCCCGGGUCCAAGCCUAUCUCUCUCUCUCUUCUCUUUCCUUCCCUCAUACUCUCUUCCUUUUCCUCUUUCCCCGAGUUUCUCUGUGUUCUCUCAUCUUCCUGUCGAACACAUACACACACCCAGUCACCGCACACCCUUCGUAGUACUUUGUCAACGACAUCAUUAUCACCAUCUAAACCGCAUCUUUCUCUCCAUUUCUUUCGGUGCAGCUAGGACAGUGGAACCCAGGAACUUUUCGACGAGUUCUCUUGAUCCUUCUCCGAUUAGGUAAGCCCCAGGUUGCGUCAAUUCAUCUUGGAUGUUGUGUGGUUGAGAUAUACUAAGUUUUAUCUUGUUUUUUUUAACAAGGUUUUAGAACGAGAUCGACCUGGGGAAGGCACACCCAGCUCUGGUGAGGCCGUGAGUGUUGAGGAACUUUUCAAACACCUUCGACUGUUUCACGGCAAAUGGAAGGAAUAUAAACAUUCCUCUCGUCUUGUGUUUCAUUUUGAUACCUAGAUCGGAGUCUAGAGUGCUCUUUUACAGUCUGCCGGAGCUGUAGAAGCUCUGGCGUUCUUCUCUGAUUCGCACUAGUCCUAAAAUAUCGUGAUAUUAUCAAUAAUAUCGCGAUAUAUUGACGAUAAUUGAAACUCCCCAACCCCAUUUAUUUUAAAAUAAUUGUUUGGACCUAAAUUGGUGAGCCAAAGGGCCCACCCCUUUUAUUUUGUCCCUCGGUCUCUCUCCUCUCUGCCCUUCCCUGUGUUCUCCCCUUUCUUUCUCUCUCUCUCUCGAAAUCUUCUCUUCCUCACUCCCCGAUCUCACACCUUUCGACCCAUACCCGAGAGCACCCACACCUGCAACUACUCUACUCGAGAACAUCAUCAUCAUCAAGCAUUACUUUGGUCUCUCUUCCAUUGCAGCGAGAUUGGUGAAAGCAGAGAAAAUGAUCUCCGGCGAGUUCCUUGUGGUUUCGACGAUAGGUAAGCCUUGGGACUUCUCUCUCUAUCUCUGUACUAUCUAUCCCU